CUGCGUACCUUUUGUAUAAUGGGUCAGCGACUUAUAUUCUGUAGCAAGGUUAACCGAAUAGGGGAGCCGGAGGGAAACCGAGUCUUAAUUGGGCGUUAAGUUGCAGGGUAUAGACCCGAAACCCGGUGAUCUAGCCAUGGGCAGGUUGAAGGUUGGGUAACACUAACUGGAGGACCGAACCGACUAAUGUUGAAAAAUUAGCGGAUGACCUGUGGCUGGGGGUGAAAGGCCAAUCAAACCGGGAGAUAGCUGGUUCUCCCCGAAAGCUAUUUAGGUAGCGCCUCGUGAAUUCAUCUCCGGGGGUAGAGCACUGUUUCGGCUAGGGGGCCAUCCCGGCUUACCAACCCGAUGCAAACUGCGAAUACCGGAGAAUGUUAUCACGGGAGACACACGGCGGGUGCUAACGUCCGUCGUGAAGAGGGAAACAACCCAGACCGCCAGCUAAGGUCCCAAAGUCAUGGUUAAGUGGGAAACGAUGUGGGAAGGCCCAGACAGCCAGGAUGUUGGCUUAGAAGCAGCCAUCAUUUAAAGAAAGCGUAAUAGCUCACUGGUCGAGUCGGCCUGCGCGGAAGAUGUAACGGGGCUAAACCAUGCACCGAAGCUGCGGCAGCGAACGUAUCACCCAAGACAACUUUACGGAGUUGACGAUUGACGGAGCGAAGCGACGUCAAAGCGUUCAUUAAAGUCGAGUUGGCUUAGGGAUACGUUCGUUGGGUAGGGGAGCGUUCUGUAAGCCUGUGAAGGUGUGUCGUGAGGC
Molecule: ribosomal RNA, 757 nt
Filed under: Salmonella enterica
Lineage: Bacteria; Pseudomonadati; Pseudomonadota; Gammaproteobacteria; Enterobacterales; Enterobacteriaceae
Also listed under: 1 other name
Description: partial 23S ribosomal RNA
Rfam family: Bacterial large subunit ribosomal RNA
Source: RNAcentral